This 28-nucleotide small RNA is filed under the name Bombyx mori (domestic silkworm). RNAcentral describes it as "ovarian small RNA-14289". Lineage: Eukaryota; Metazoa; Arthropoda; Insecta; Lepidoptera; Bombycidae. The record is from RNAcentral.
CGAUUCGGUAUCGGGGCCUGAACUCGAA